This 250-nucleotide ribosomal RNA is filed under the name uncultured bacterium. RNAcentral describes it as "partial 16S ribosomal RNA". It matches the Rfam family "Bacterial small subunit ribosomal RNA", at positions 959 to 1211 of the family's 1533-position model. The record is from RNAcentral.
ACGCGCGAAACCUUACCUGGGCUUGACAUACACCAGAUCGCUGCAGAGAUGUAGUUUCCCUUGUGGUUGGUGUACAGGUGGUGCAUGGUUGUCGUCAGCUCGUGUCGUGAGAUGUUGGGUUAAGUCCCGCAACGAGCGCAACCCUUGUCUUAUGUUGCCCAGCAUUUGGUUGGGGACUCAUGAGAGACUGCCGGGGUUAACUCGGAGGAAGGUGGGGAUGACGUCAAAUCAUCAUGCCCCUUAUGUCCAG